CUUCAUUGUUGAGGGUUAGCUUGAUUCCACUGUGAUCAGAUAGAAUACAUGGGAUAAAGUCAAUACUCAUGUUUUUGCUGAGGCUCUUUGUAUGGACUAUGAUAUAAUCUAUUUUGGAUUAUGUUCCAUGGGCUGCUGAGAAGAAUGUGUAUUGGUUCUCUGUAGAGUGAAAUACUCUGUACAGAUCUAUCAUAUCCAUGUGGGAUAUGGUGUUCCUUAGAUCUGCGGCUCCCUUGCUAAUCCUCUGUGUGUUGGAUCUGCCCCCUGGAGAGAGUAGAGUACUAAAGUCUCCCACUAUUAUUGUAUUUGGGUCUAUUUUGUUCUGUAGUUCUGAAAGAAUUUGUUUGACAUAUUUAGGACCUCUUUUGUUCAGUGAGUAUAUGUUUAUCACUGUGAUAUCAUCUCCCUGGAUUUUUCCCUGUAUUAAUGUGUAGUGACCAUCUUUGUCUUUUUGAAUUGAUUUUAAUGAGAGGUUUAGCUUGUCUGAAAUCAGGAUGGCUACCCCUGCCAUUUUGGUAGGUGUGUUUGCUUGGAAGAUCUUACUCCAUCCUUUCAU
Molecule: long non-coding RNA, 556 nt
Organism: Perognathus longimembris pacificus (Pacific pocket mouse)
Lineage: Eukaryota; Metazoa; Chordata; Mammalia; Rodentia; Heteromyidae
Exons: 3
Source: RefSeq, a predicted model, not a curated record